CUAAUUCUGGGUAAAAUCUCACCACAGAUAGGCCCUGUCUAUAUCUAUACCCAUUUAAUCUUCCCCACAAACCUAAAUGGUAAGCACUAUUAUCAUCUGGUUGGUAGUUGAAGGAAAUGAACCACAGACACCUCAAAUAACUUCCCCAAGAUAUCAGUGGAUGUCUGGCUGAAGUUCUUAACCUUUACUUUAUACUCACUAACAGCAAAAAUGAGAAGAACCACUUUUCAAGAAUGCAAAUUUUGUUCCAGGAACAUUCAUUAUCUCACUUCACCUUUGUGCUCCUGUGAGUAAAUAAUGUCUCUGUUCUACAGAUGAGGAAACCAAGGCUUCGAGGUACCCAAUAACUGGCUUAAAGUUACUGUCAAAACACAGGGCCCUCAUACAUGCUUCUACGGCAGUCUUAAUCCAUGCUUCAUUCUCCAAGAUUUGCCUCAUACUUCUGCCACGCUUAUGCCAACACAUCAACUGCGCUUUAUGGAGCUUCCAGCUCACUAUAUCACGUGUUGAAUGCUAGUAAAUAAUGGAGCUGAAACUCUGGAAUUGCAAAGAGGAUAUAAAUUGUGAUCCUACUAUUUCUAGUCAGAAAAGUUUAAAACUGAACACAAAGCUUUUGACGGAAAAAUAGUCACAUCUGCAUGAAUGUCAAGGACAUAAAAAUUCAGCUUGGGAGAGGAAGAGAAAGCCCUGAGACCAUCACCUCAAGCG
Molecule: long non-coding RNA, 708 nt
Organism: Heterocephalus glaber (naked mole-rat)
Lineage: Eukaryota; Metazoa; Chordata; Mammalia; Rodentia; Bathyergidae
Source: Ensembl